This 1632-nucleotide long non-coding RNA is filed under the name Chinchilla lanigera (long-tailed chinchilla). RNAcentral's name for it is "lncRNA (ENSCLAG00000024796.1)". The record is from RNAcentral. Lineage: Eukaryota; Metazoa; Chordata; Mammalia; Rodentia; Chinchillidae.
GGGCUUGUGAGCAUAUUUAUUUUAAUGCCUUUUGUGAUAUUGUACUUUUUGAAUUUUUUAAAUUGUCUGUAGGGCAGGGAUUAAGUCUAGGCCUUGUCCGUGCAUGCAGGGCAAGCGCUCUGCAACCCAGCUCCAUUCCCAGCCCUGCUCUGCAUUUAAUUACAGUUUUAAAGGACUCAGCCCUCCAUCGCUUCUCAGCCCUUUGGCUAAAAUCAAGUGGAAAGAGCUCAGCCCAGGGCUGGCAUUCCUACACUCUCGUUUCUGUCCUGCUUCAGCCGUUUCUGGCAGCAGGAAUCUGAGCAGACAAUAGUGCAAUUUGUUUCCAGCUAGAACUUGUUGCCAACCAGCCUAGGGUUCUUUUGCUCCACGUGGACGGAAAUCGUGAAUCGGCAAAGUGCAGCUCUGUUAGCAAAUCAGAUGUCCCCAGAGGACACCAGGUAAUGCUGGAUGCCAGUAGCUGACUCCGCCAGCUGCCGGUCACUGCCACUGCCAGCCGUCACAGUCCAACGCCAGUCACCGUCCAAGAAUUCUUUUUUGGGAUGGAAAAAUCCCACAAAUCACCUCUGCAAGAGACUCCAGCACCCCAGAAGUCCAGUAACAGCAGGACACUGUAAGUCAACUCCACUGGGGGGUGGGUCUCUGCCACCACCCUUGGAUGGCUGCUGGUCUCCUGAGCUCUUCCAUGUUUACAGCCCUGUUUAUUCACGCUGUCCACACUACUCAGGAUAAAAGGCACAUGAGGGUUUACGGGACUUUUGGAGCCCACAGUGCCUGAGAAACAAACAGCUGAGCAGGUUUACAGGAACCCCAAAGCAAGUCUUUGUUGUUGUUGUUUUUUUUAACUUUAAAGAGUAAAAGAAGGAUAACAUAAUAAUAGGGGGGCUUACCAAAUUACAGACAAAGUGGUAGGAAACUAUCAAUGGUUAUUGUUUUACAUAUUGUUAUCUACAAGAUAGUUUGUCAGGAAAACAAAUAGACAAAUAAUAGUGAGUUACAGACAAAAGAGGUAGGAGAUUAUCAAUAGUGGUUGUACUAUACUUUGGUAUCUUCAAAGUGGCUUCUAAAGGAAAUAAAUAGAGCUAUACAUGAGUGACCUAUUGAAUAAUCAUUAACUUUUCUCAAUGGUUGUUGUAGGAAACACAUAAUAAUAAACAUACAUCCAUUUAUGAAAUAGGAUACAAACAAUACAAACAUUACAGAGUUAUGGGUAGAUUAGUAGGAAAAUAUCAAUGGCCAAAGCAAGUCUUUAUCCCCUACCCCCGUACCAGGAAUUGAAUUCAUGACCUCACGUUUGCCAGGCAGGCGCUGUGCCGCUGAGCUAAAUCCCCAGCCCUGAGUCUUUAUCUUGACAGGGCCUGUGCUGCAGCAGAGUGUGCUCAGUAUACAGGGGGGAGCCCUCCUAGAUUAAAACUCAAAGAGUGCCUGAAGAGCUACUUAUGUAGCCACUUACAGACCUGUUUCAGUGAGGGUGAGGGCUGAAACCAGGGAAUCUUCUGGAAGGCCUGCUGUGCAUGCUGGCCCCAAUCCCUCCCUUAUCUUAGCCAGUCCAGGCGCCCUUUCUGCUCUCAAAUAUUCAACAGUUAUGCUGGAAUGGAGCGUGGCGGGUUGAUAGCCCGGGAGGAUCCUACUUCA